GUAGAUACAGGCGAAUCGAGUUGAACCCAGUCCCUGUCCCACAGGGGGUUCACAGUCUUAAUCCCCAUUGUACGGAUGAGAUGACUGAGGCACGGAGCAGUGAAGUGACUUGGACAAGGUCACGUAGAUAAGUGGCGGGGCUGGGAUUAGAACCCGUGACCUCUUGACUCCCGGAACUGUCGUAAUCCACUAGACCGUGCUAUUUGUACAUACCGAGUUGACUCGGAGGUCACCUAUUUGAGGCUGGCAUUGUCCCAUUUCUUUUUAACGGUACCUGCAGGAAAGGAGGAGAGGAGGAGUGGAAUCGAGUGUCCACAGGACGCAAAGAUGCCGGGCUUUUAGAUCAGGUAAAUUGGUCUCCAGUCGAUGGUCCGUUCCUGACCUUGAGCUCCAGAGGUUGAGGGUGGACUCCGCAGCCGUCCUGCCUGGUCCCGAGGGGCCCGGCGAGCUCUCCGACCACCUUCCUAUUUGUGCGUGCGGUCAUGUCGGCGACAAUCACAGAAAACACCCCUACUUUCAUCUUGGUAAAUCACCCCCCCACCCCCGCAUCUGUGUCUGCUCAUCUAUGCUCGUUGCUCGGGUACGCUAAUUCCGUAUUAGCGACGAAGAGGGUUUGACUGAAGUUUUUCUUAGCAAAACUGGGGUCCUAGAGGACGUGGCUUACAGUCUCGGCUUAGAAGAAAGGCUCAAUGAAAGGAGAGAAGAGGCGUGAGGCGAAGGGAUCAGAGACUAGUCGGGGGUAGCAGAUCUCAUGAGAUUUCAGGGGGCCAAAAAGGCCACGUUGCUUUGUAAGGCCUAACGUUAGUGAGAUCUGACAUUUAUACCCAGCUUAGCUGGUAUAUACUCUUAUAUUUUAGGGCUCACCUCCUCCAGGAGGCCUUCCCAGAGUGAGCCCCCCUUCCCCUCCCCCCAGCACUUCUGCCUAUUUGUACGUAUUUAUUACUCUAUUUUAGAGAAGCAGCGUGGCUCAGUGGAAAGAGCCCGGGCUUGGAAGUCAGAGGUCAUGGGUUCGAAUCCCAGCUCUGCCACUUGUCAGCUGUGUGACUGUGAGCAAGUUACGUAACUUCUCUGUGCUUCAGUGAACACGUCUGUAAAAUGGGGAUUAACUGUGAGCCUCACGUGGGACAACCUGAUUACCCUGUGUCUCCCCCAGCGCUUAGAACAGUGCUGUGCACAUAGUAAGCGCUUAACAAAUACCAACAUUAUUAUUAUUAUUAUUUUUAAUGAUGUGUAUAGAUCUAUGAUUCUAUUUACUAUUUUGAUGGCAUUGACGGCCGUCUACUUGUUUCGUGUCGUUGUGUUGUCCGUCUCCCCCUUCUAGACGGCGAGCCCGUCGUUGGGUAGGGGUUGUCUCUGCCUGCUGUCGAAUUGACCUUUUCC
Molecule: long non-coding RNA, 1380 nt
Filed under: Ornithorhynchus anatinus (platypus)
Lineage: Eukaryota; Metazoa; Chordata; Mammalia; Monotremata; Ornithorhynchidae
Description: lncRNA (ENSOANG00000042810.1)
Rfam family: tRNA (bases 957-1028)
Source: RNAcentral